RNAcentral lists this ribosomal RNA (433 nucleotides) under uncultured bacterium. RNAcentral's name for it is "partial 16S ribosomal RNA". It matches the Rfam family "Bacterial small subunit ribosomal RNA", at positions 29 to 507 of the family's 1533-position model. The record is from RNAcentral.
AACGAACGCUGGCGGCAUGCCUAACACAUGCAAGUCGAACGAGACCUUCGGGUCUAGUGGCGCACGGGUGCGUAACGCGUGGGAACCUUCCCUUAGGUUCGGAAUAACUCCCCGAAAGGGGUGCUAAUACCGGAUAAUGUCUUCGGACCAAAGAUUUAUCGCCUUUGGAUGGGCCCGCGUUGGAUUAGCUAGUUGGUAGGGUAAAAGCCUACCAAGGCGACGAUCCAUAGCUGGUCUGAGAGGAUGAUCAGCCACACUGGGACUGAGACACGGCCCAGACUCCUACGGGAGGCAGCAGUGGGGAAUAUUGGACAAUGGGCGAAAGCCUGAUCCAGCAAGGCCGCGUGAGUGAUGAAGGCCUUAGGGUUGUAAAGCGCUUUUACCCGGGAUGAUAAUGACAGUACCGGGAGAAUAAGCUCCGGCUAACUCCGUG